AUCAAAUUACGUUAUAUUUCCUUGUUAUGAAGGUUGAUAUUUGGUUCAGGUAAGAUUGAGAUUUUCAAUUAAUAUUGUUUACAUUUUCACAUACACAGUUGACAGUUUAUAUAAUUAAUAAAAGCUGUCAACAUGUUCUAGAAAUAUGACUCUACUGAUUUAAACUUAUUUUAAAACGUUUGUCUUGAUAAGCACGUAGAGACAAUGCAUGUAUUGUAAUAAAAAAAAAAUAUUACCCCAAAAUAGAUGAUUUGAUAAUGGUUUUAAAGCAAUUGAAUUUAUUUAAGCAGAUAGAUAUAAUAUCAUUAGAUUUUUGUUUAUAGUACAGCAAAUUUAAUUGAUAAUGUCGAUUUAACGUGUAACUGUGUAACACGUGCAAGGGCAAAAAUGCUAUUUAUAUGUUACACUGAACUAAGCAAAUACUGCACUGUUUUUAACGAUAAGGUGAAUUGGACUUAUAUUUUUUAGCAUUAUACUCGGGUUUUUUUUCUCUCUAAAUUAUAGGGUAAAAAGUGCGGAAUAAACUGCAAUCAAAUAUAGAAAAAAAGUCGAUAUCUCAGGUUAUAACGGCAAUGUUAAAAUGCUAUUGAUAAACUACACUUAACUAAGCAUGUAUUGUACAUUUAUUAAACAUCUGAUUGUAAUUUAUGGUGAAUGAAGAAUUGUAUCGGUCUUCAGCGUGUUACUUAAUUCAAAGCCGAAAUAGAAUUAAUCAUUCGUUUCCUCAAAAAUAAAAACGUAAAGAUUUAAGAAUAUAAAGAAUAUAGACAAAUAGGUAAUAAAUUAGGAAUAGAGAAUAAUGAUGUGUAUAGGAUAGUGAAAAAAAAUAGAAAUAGAAAAAGAAAAUGAGAAAUAAAAUUAAACAUAAAGAAAUGGAGAACCUCCAUCCCGACCCUCAUAAACUGACUGACGGAAACUUUGGCAGACUUUAAACUAUCUGCUACAAGUGACUGUCAGCUUGUGUAUAGAACCAACAAUACAAAUUCUGAAAACCUUUUAGGUGUCUGUUUUCGUUAUUUUGUGAUUGAUAUUAGCUCUUUUGUUAUUGAGUAGGCCAGACACGGUUUUUGUCUUAAAAAUACAAGAAACAGUGACGUUUAAAAAAGUUAAAAAACAAAAACAAAGAUGCAGUACAUUGAGGACUAAAAAAUGUAAACAGUUUUUGCCAGAUGAAGAUAUUUUGAAUACAAAUUCUGACAGUGUUUAAACCAGAAUAAUGAAACUAUUUCCAGAGUAUAAAAUUUUUAGUAUUCAUAGGAUUCAAAGAUUUGUUACCAUUCAAGUAAUAACUCAUGUUAAUUGAUUGUUCGAAUUCCGCUCACCAUAGAAAGGAAAUAAAUAUAUAUAAAGUAACUUUGGUUUGGGUUUUUUUUUUUUAGUUUUUAAGCAUUUUUUUCACUAUUCUUUAUAAUGUUUGCUCGAUUUUCUACCAGCCCAUUCUUUUUCUUUUUUUCCUUUUUUACUAUUUUAAUCUGUUCUGUAAAUAGUUUUUACAUAAUGUCUAUAACUCUUUAAUCACCAUCCGGACACUUUUAAUAUAUUCAAACUUUUAAUAAGUAUUAAAACCUGUAUCGGCAGACAAGGUCGUACAACAAUCGGAAGUGGAAAAUAACGCAACACAAAUGUCACAUAAUGGCCAAAACGAAAAGCACAAUUCGCAUUGAAAAUUUCAACCGUUAAUGGAAAUGCACAAACCUAGCAAAUAUGAUAAAAUUUGGCAUUGUAUGAUGACACUUCAUGAAUUAAAUGGGUUAUAUGAUAAACGUGAAUGGGACAGCAAACAAACAACACAAUGAUAAGAUAACAUGCAGAGGUAUUUUGUCAAUUGUAAUAUUACAUUUUUUAUAGGUUGUAAUUUAUGGUGAAUGUACAAUUAAAUCAGUCUUCCGCAUGUUACUCCUAAGCCAUAAUAAAAUUAAUCAGUUGGUUCCUCAAAAAUAAAACGGUAAGAUUUAAGAAUAUAAAGAAUAUAGAAAAGUAGGGGAUAAAGAAGAAAUAGAGAAUAAUGAUUUGCUGAAAUAUAUAGGAUAGUGAACAAAUAUAAAAAUAGGAAAAGAAAAUGAAAAAAAAUAAAUAAACAUAAAGAAAUGAAGGAUCUCCAUCCCGACCCUCAUAGACUGACUGACGGAAAGUGUGGCAGAAUUUAAACUAUCUCCUAAAAGUGACUGUGCGCUUGAUUAUAGGGCCAUCAAUACAAGUUCUGAAAUCUUCUAGGUGUCUGCUUUCGUUAUUUUGUGACUGAAAUUAUCUCUCUUGUUAUUGUGUAGGCAAGAUACAUUUUUGUCUUCAAAAUAUAAAAACCAGUGACGUUAAAAAAAGUUAAAAGAAAAAAACAAACAAAAUUGAAGUACAUUGAGGACCAAAAAUUGUCAACAGUUGUUGGCAGAUAUAGACAAUCAGCAUUUAAAUCAGAUUAAGGAAACUAUUUCCAGAGUAGAAUAUUUUUAGCAUUUCAUUGGAUUCAAAGUUUUGUUACCAUUUCCAUAAUUUCAUUGAUAACUCAUAUCAACAUGAUAUUCUGACCUCUAUGCAAAUGUCAAAUUAAUGUCAUUUUCUUAUUACAUUCCACACUGUUGUGACCGAUCAAGUCCUCUAGACUUACAAUGAUUAAGAGCUUGUCUUUAACUUUUGGUGUGUAUGCCUCCGUCGUAUCGGAGGUGGCAUUAUGUUUUGCGCUUGUUCGUCUGUACGUACGUCCGUCCGUACAUCUCAAAGUUGGUUUCCGUUCUCUUACUUUAGUUUACCUCACCAAAUGUUAUGAAAUUUAUACGGAAUGCUCAUUUACACAAAACACAGAUCAAGUUUGAAUUUUGGAGGUGUCAUUUCAAUCGUUCAAGAGUUAUGUUCCUUUACAAAUGGCAAAAUUGCUGAUUUUUUUGUUUCCGUUCUCUUUCGUAAGUUUGCCGCAACCAAAUGUUAUGAAACUUAUACACAAUGCUUAUUAUCACAAAACACAGAUCCUGUUUAAUUCUGGAGGUGUCAAUCUAAACGUUCCAAAGUUACGCCCCUUGACAAUUGGUAGAAUUGCUGAAUAUUCCGUUUCCGUAUUCUAACUUUAUUUUGCCUCAACCAAAUGUUAUGAAACUUAUACACAAUGCUUACUACCACAAACAACAGAUCAGUUUUUGUUGUCACUUUAACUGUUCUAAAGAAAUGCCUUUAAAAAAUGGUAAAAUUACUGAUCUUUUUUUAUAUCUGUUUGCCUCAACCAAAUGUUAUGAAUCUUUUACACAAUGCUUAGUACAGCAAAACACAUAUCAAGAUAUUGGUGGUAUCACUUUUACUGUUCUAGAGCUAUGCCCCUUUAUCAAAGAAAAAAAUGCUGAAUUUUUCGUUUCUGUUCUGUAACUUAAGUUUGCCUCAACCAAAUGUUAUGAAACUUUUACACAAUGCUUAUUACCACACAACACAGACCAAGUUGGAAUUUUAGAGGUGUCACUUUUACUGUUCUAGAAUUAGGCUCUUUACAAAAGGUAAAAUUGCUGAAUUUAUGGUGUAUGUUCUCUAACUUAAGUUUAUAUGAACGAACUGUUAUUAAACUUAUACACAUUACUUAUUACCACAAAACUCCAAUCAAGUACCCAUUUGGGAACGCCAAUUUUAACGUUCUUUAGAUUUGUCCCCUUAUAACUAUAUAUGAUACGCAAAUAAACUCAUCAUAGAUACCUGGAUUAAAAUUUUAUGUUUACGCCAGACGCGCGUUUCGUCUACAAAACACUCAUCAUUGAGGCUCGAAUAAAAAAAAAAUUAAAAGGCCAAAUGAGGUACGAAGUUGAAAAGCAUUUAGGAAAAAAAAUUGAAGCGGGUGCAUCAUCUGUGUCCCUUGGACCCAUCCCCUGUUUUCGUUAUUUAGUGGUGAUGGUAAAUUGUUUUUGUAUGUUUAUGAAACAGUGUACUGUCGGGAAGCAGUUGAUGUGUUGUCAGUCUUUACUUGAUUUUCUUUAGGGGCAGUCUUAAACAAAACAAGCAGGCAGCUUCCUGGAGUGGCAAGUAGAGUUUUCCCUGUUUUACGAAACAUUUGCUAUAUCUAAUGUGUAUUUUCUAACGUGUUGGUUGAUAGUGUUGUUGGAAAGUCAGGUCUUGGUUGUUAGUGUUGUCGGGGGUGUCGGUGUUGGUGGUAAGUGUUGUCAGAGAAGUUUGGUGUUCGUGGUAAGUGUUGUCGAUUUUUGUUGGAUAUUGGUGAUUAAUAUUGUCGGAGGGGUCGGGUGUUAGUGAAAAGUGUUCUCUAAUAAGGCCGAGGAGUCAUAUUACAGCUUAGUAUUUAUGAUGUUAUGAUAAAAAUGUAUAUUGAUACAUAUUUCAGGUAAUCACCAUGGCUUCUAGUACAACUCUUUGUGGUCCAUGUUCACAUGCUCCACGUGUUCACCCGUCGUGUUUGCUUAUGUGCUUACAAAUCGGUAAAUAGUCUAUUCGGUAGGUCAUAUUCAUGAAAGGGAAGGGGAUUAUAGUUACGACGUAAGGAACAUAUCCGAUAUCAUUUGUGAAACGGUUAUUCCAUAACGGUCAACCAUUCGUGAUGGCGUCCGAAAAUUUACGAAGGGAUGAUUUCAACUUCACCAUUUGGAACUCUUGGUUUAAUAACUUCCUUGUGAGCAGCAAACCUCUAUCAAGAAAAUCAUGAUAGGAAAUGCAAGCACGGGAAUAUCGUAUCAAUUGGGAGAUAUAUACCCCGUAUGUAGGUGCUGCUGGAAUGUUGCUACUUAGAAAUGGAAAGUUCACAAUUGGAAAGCUGAAAUCAUCUCUUUUGUCGUAAAGUUUUGUUUUCAACCGACCCUCAUUGUCAAUUUCUAGAUGUAAGUCAAGAUAUGAAGCCGACUUUUUAAUGUACAUAUGUUGCAAAAACAAGUGUAUUGUGUUAAAAAGGGUAGUUAAUUCUAAUAUAAAUUAAACAGAUGCGGUAUAAUUGCUAAUAAGACAACAUUUCAUAUAACGUUGGUUUAUGCAAUUAUAUGCAAGCGUAUUGCCUUUAACAAUGAACUAAACCCAUAUUGGAUGGUUUGCUAGUAAAUUUAUAUUUUCGACCAUCAUAUCGCUUGAUCCUUUUAAAUACAAUACAGUUAUCUCUGUAAUCGAUUGUGAUCUUUCACCUCGGGAAUCACACCUGUAGAUAAUUGUUUUAUAAAAGAUGAUUCAAUAAAAGAGGUUGAGUUGAAAGCUGAAGUAUUUUCUUUUUUUUAAGUCUUGAGCAGUUCAGUAAAAGGAAUGAGUCAACCGAAUUUUAUAAUGCUUACAACAAAAUUAUUAACAUUCAUUGUGUUAUCCAAAGAUUUAAAUGUAUUCGUACAUCUUUGACUUCAAAAAAUUAUAUACUUUAUCAAGUGCUAUUUUCAUUAUAUUAUAUAAAGUGCCUUCGAAUUUUAAAUCGAGUUAGUGCAUCAGUUUGGUCUGUUAUGUCGUAUUAAUAAUAUCAAAGACAGUAAUUAUGAGUUCGUUAUUUUUUUAAGAAAUCUUUGAUUAUACGUUUGCCUCACAAAUGUAAAUUCUUUACACAAUGCUUAGUACAACAAAACACAUAUCAAGAUGUUGGUGGUAUCACUUUUACUGUUCUAGAGCUAUGCCCCUUUAUCAAAGAAAAAAUGCUGAAUUUUUCUUUUCUGUUCUGUAACUUAAGUUUGCCACAACCAAAUGUUAUGAAACUUUUACACAAUGCUUAUUACCACACAACACAGACCAAGUUGGAAUUUUAGAGGUGUCACUUUUACUGUUCUAGAAUUAGGCUCUUUACAAAAGGUAAAAUUGCUGAAUUUAUGGUGUAUGUUCUCUAACUUAAGUUUAUAUGAACGAACUGUUAUUAAACUUAUACACAUUACUUAUUACCACAAAACUCCAAUCAAGUACCCAUUUGGGAACGCCAAUUUUAACGUUCUUUAGAUUUGUCCCCUUAUAACUAUAUAUGAUACGCAAAUAAACUCAUCAUAGAUACCUGGAUUAAAAUUUUAUGUUUACGCCAGACGCGCGUUUCGUCUACAAAACACUCAUCAUUGAGGCUCGAAUAAAAAAAAAAUUAAAAGGCCAAAUGAGGUACGAAGUUGAAAAGCAUUUAGGACAAAAAAUUGAAGCGGGUGCAUCAUCUGUGUCCCUUGGACCCAUCCCCUAUUUUCGUUAUUUAGUGGUGAUGGUAAAUUGCUUUUGUUUUGAGUCGAGUUGAUGUGUUGUCAGUCUUUACUUGAUUUUCUUUAGGGGCAGUGUUAAACAAAACAAGCAGGCAGCUUCCUGGAGUGGCAAGUAGAGUUUUCCCUGUUUUACGAAACAUUUGCUAUAUCUAAUGUGUAUUUUCUAACGUGUUGGUUGGUAGUGUUGUUGGAAAGUCAGGUCUUGGUUGUUAGUAUUGUCGGGGGUGUCGGUGUUGGUGGUAAGUGUUGUCAGAGAAGUUUGGUGUUCGUGGUUAGUGUUGUCGAUUUUUGUUGGAUAUUGGUGAUUAAUAUUGUCGGAGGGGUCGGGUGUUAGUGAAAAGUGUUCUCUAAUAAGGCCGAGGAGUCAUAUUACAGCUUAGUAUUUAUGAUGUUAUGAUAAAAAUGUAUAUUGAUACAUAUUUCAGGUAAUCCCCAUGGCUUCUAGUACAACUCUUUGUGGUCCAUGUUCACAGCGACACAUAACCAAACCAUCUGAAUACUGGUGCGCGGAAUGUGAGGAAGCCAUUUGUGAUGACUGCAGAGAACAUCAUAAAGUGUUUAAAGCAACACGAAGUCACGAACUCAUGUCAAUAGACAAGUACAAAUCUCUUCCGUCCUUCAUUACUGAUAUACAUCAGUCAUGUACCUAUCACAAUGAAAAGUAUCAGCAAUACUGCAUUGAGGAUGCGUUACCUAUUUGUUUCAAAUGCAUUAAAGAACACCAGAAAUGCAACGUUAUUCCUCUUGACGAAGUCACUAAUAAUGCUAAGACAUCCGGGCACUUACAAGAUUUAGAAACAAGACUUAUAGACUUAUUACACAACAUUGAUGGCAUCCAGAAGGACCGAAAGGCUAAUUUGGUCAGUAUUGAAAAAAUGAAGGAGGGACAUCUAACAGAAAUUAAACAAAUCAGAAACCAAAUUAACAAACAUUUAGACAAACUUGAAAAAGAAAUAAAACAAGAUCUUGAGAAAAAAGAGGGUCAAUGCAAGAAGAGUAUUCAGAGUAUUUUAUCAUCAGUUGAAGAAAAGAAAAAAAUUGAUAACAGAAUAUCAGACCAAUCUUCAAAACAUCAAACAAAAUGCGUCUGGUCUUCAAACAUUUCUUCUAAUGAGAAAUAUUGAGAUGAAAGUUUUUGAAAAUGAACAAUAUUUACAAUCCUUGGUUGAAACUGACCAAUUUGAACCAGUUGAACUCGUUUUUAAAGUAGAACCAGGGGUGCUUAGUGUCUUAGACAGUUUGAAGAAUUUUGGAUCAAUUGAAAUAAAAAAGACGUCGAGUAGCAUUCGUUUAAUCAGAGAGAAAGAUAAACAAGCACAGUUGCAAGUAACGCCAACGAAGACCAUAGACGACUUGAAGUUGAUUCUACAAAAGACAAUUACAACAGGCGGGGG
Molecule: long non-coding RNA, 7507 nt
Filed under: Mytilus galloprovincialis (Mediterranean mussel)
Lineage: Eukaryota; Metazoa; Mollusca; Bivalvia; Mytilida; Mytilidae
Source: RNAcentral